GUUCCUAUGGUCUAGUGGUGAGGAUACUUCGUUGUGGAAUUAGUAAGCACCGAAGAGGCCCGUGUUCGAUUCACGGUGGGGACA
This is a non-coding RNA of Ceratobasidium sp. 370, 84 nucleotides long. The record is from the annotation of a GenBank genome assembly. NCBI's taxonomy places the organism in Eukaryota, Fungi, Basidiomycota, Agaricomycetes, Cantharellales, Ceratobasidiaceae.